CCUACGGGAGGCAGUAGUGGGGAAUAUUGGACAAUGGGCGAAAGCCUGAUCCAGCAAUGCCGCGUGAGUGAUGAAGGCCUUAGGGUCGUAAAGCUCUUUUACCCGGGAUGAUAAUGACAGUACCGGGAGAAUAAGCCCCGGCUAACUCCGUGCCAGCAGCCGCGGUAAUACGGAGGGGGCUAGCGUUGUUCGGAAUUACUGGGCGUAAAGCGUACGUAGGCGGUUAUUCAAGUCAGAGGUGAAAGCCCGGGGCUCAACCCCGGAACGGCCUUUGAAGCUAGAUAGCUAGAGUCUUGGAGAGGUCAGUGGAAUUCCGAGUGUAGAGGUGAAAUUCGUAGAUAUUCGGAAGAACACCAGUGGCGAAGGCGACUGACUGGACAAGUACUGACGCUGAGGUACGAAAGCGUGGGGAGCAAACAGGAUUAGAUACCCUGGUAGUCCACGCCGUAAACGAUGAUAACUAGCUGUCCGGGUACUUGGUAUCUGGUGGCGCGAGCUACGACAUUAAGUUAUACCGUCCGUCGGGUAGGUACGGUCGGCGAAGAAUUAAACUAACAAAGAAAGUUAGUACGGCGUGAGACGUGCCGAACGGACGACGACGAGGGGAGGUAGG
Molecule: ribosomal RNA, 613 nt
Filed under: uncultured bacterium
Lineage: Bacteria
Description: bacterial SSU rRNA
Rfam family: Bacterial small subunit ribosomal RNA (bases 1-519)
Source: RNAcentral